Molecule: ribosomal RNA, 417 nt
Filed under: Streptomyces sp. LB8
Lineage: Bacteria; Bacillati; Actinomycetota; Actinomycetes; Kitasatosporales; Streptomycetaceae
Description: bacterial SSU rRNA
Rfam family: Bacterial small subunit ribosomal RNA
Source: RNAcentral
UUGUGGUGCUGGGGACUCACGGGAGACCGCCGGGGUCAACUCGGAGGAAGGUGGGGACGACGUCAAGUCAUCAUGCCCCUUAUGUCUUGGGCUGCACACGUGCUACAAUGGCCGGUACAAAGAGCUGCGAUGCCGUGAGGCGGAGCGAAUCUCAAAAAGCCGGUCUCAGUUCGGAUUGGGGUCUGCAACUCGACCCCAUGAAGUCGGAGUCGCUAGUAAUCGCAGAUCAGCAUUGCUGCGGUGAAUACGUUCCCGGGCCUUGUACACACCGCCCGUCACGUCACGAAAGUCGGUAACACCCGAAGCCGGUGGCCCAACCCCCUUGUGGGGAGGGAGCCGUCGAAGGUGGGACUGGCGAUUGGGACGAAGUCGUAACAAGGUAGCCGUACCGGAAGGUGCGGCUGGAUCACCUCCUUU